UGGGGAAUAUUGGACAAUGGGCGAAAGCCUGAUCCAGCCAUGCCGCGUGUGUGAAGAAGGUCUUCGGAUUGUAAAGCACUUUAAGUUGGGAGGAAGGGCAGUAAGUUAAUACCUUGCUGUUUUGACGUUUACCGACAGAAUAAGCACCGGCUAACUCUGUGCCAG
Molecule: ribosomal RNA, 165 nt
Filed under: uncultured bacterium
Lineage: Bacteria
Description: partial 16S rRNA
Rfam family: Bacterial small subunit ribosomal RNA
Source: RNAcentral